This 274-nucleotide ribosomal RNA is filed under the name uncultured bacterium. Its description in RNAcentral is "partial 16S ribosomal RNA". It matches the Rfam family "Bacterial small subunit ribosomal RNA", at positions 523 to 796 of the family's 1533-position model. The record is from RNAcentral.
AUACGGAGGGGGCAAGCGUUGUUCGGAAUUACUGGGCGUAAAGGGCGCGCAGGCUGUUUUGUUAGUCAGGCGUGAAAUCCCCGGGCUCAACCCGGGAACUGCGUUUGAUACUGCGGAACUAGAGAUCGGGAGAGGGUAGUGGAAUUCCCAGUGUAGAGGUGAAAUUCGUAGAUAUUGGGAAGAACACCAGUGGCGAAGGCGGCUACCUGGACCGAUACUGACGCUGAGGCGCGAAAGCGUGGGUAGCGAACGGGAUUAGAAACCCGGGUAGUCC